GGGAGCUCACUUCCAUGGUGAAAUCAAAGCUAGUAUCUCAAACCAAUCUUCUUCAAUUCUUGCCUUAAUCUCUCUCUAAUCUUCAUAUUAUUCAUACAAGAGAAACAUUAACCAUUGAUGGGGAAGCUUUUCACCAUGAGUUACAAUUGGUAGAAGAAAUGGGUAAGCUCAAGGAUUGAAUAGGAUUAUCAAGUGUGAUUUCGAUAUGUGAUUGCACGUGGUUAAAAGAAGGGGUAAGCUCAUCAUCAUCAUCAUCUUCAAUUUCUAGAAAAGGUGGGUUCUCUUACCCUAGGUUUGAUCUUGAAUAGAAAUCUUAGGGAUUUUGGUAUGUGAGAGUAAUUGACCCAUUACAUGUGGAUUUUUAAGUAGCAUAUGAGUAGGGUUUGUUCCUUAAGUGAGUUUGAUACCAAAAACACACUUAAGAUCCUUAGAAAGAUCGAAUUGGGUGAGGUUUGAGAGAUAAGCACUCUUCUACUAUGAAGUGGUGUUGUAUGUUUCGCAAAUCUUCUCAAGUGAGAGAUGUUGCUUUCUAAGUGAGAGUAUCACUGCCUCUAAGGUUAUAUAGGCUCUCUAAGCAAGGGUUUGCACCUUCAAAGGCUCGCUAAGCGAAGGCGACCUAUCAAGGUUCACUAAACGAGAGCCGACACCUGCCAAGAAUCGCUAAGUAAUGGUUGGCAUGCCGAGACUCUCUAAGCGAGAGUUGGAACCUUUUAUGGAUUACUAAGCGAGGGUUGGCCUUCUAGGGCUCACUGAACGAAACAAGCUUAUUGUCCUCUAGAAUAUCGUCUAACUCAUAUUUCAAGCCUUAUGUUGUGGUAGUUAAUGAUCAUAGGACUUAACAAUAUGAUUUUAGGCAUUAUUUCCACUGGGAAUGAAAGCAGGACAUGUCAUACAAGUGUGAGAUGACUUUGGAUUAAGAAAAACCUUGGAUACAAAGUAAAACUAGGGAAUUAGUCUUAACUUAUCUAACAAGUCAGAUACCUUAAGAGUAUUUGAGGAAAGAAUGGCAUAUAUGCUAUGAUUGAUAUAGUUGACAGAUAAAGAAGAUAAUGGAAAAAAAUUGUAAGAUGGCAUCCAGUAUAUCAAAGUGAAUACGUGGAGACAUCAUGUGUGACUAUGGAUCACAAACUCAAGCAUGUAAUGUGUUCCAUUGUUCCAAUUGGAGGAUAUGUGACAUAUCCAUACAAUUUGAGUUGAUUAAUAUGUGAUUUAUUUUAAUAUUCCCACUGAUGAAUAUGUGAGUUAUCCAUGGGAGGGUAUGUGAGUUGCCAUGGUGAUCAGAUUUGGGUGGAUAUGUGCUCUGUCUUAGCAACUUAUGAAAGGAUAUAUUAUUUAUCUUGAUACUUAACUAGAGGAUAUGCAAUUUUUCUGACUAUAUUGGUAGAGGAGUAAGUGAUUUAUUAUGAUAUUCCCAGUGACAUAUAUGUGAUUUAUCCAUGGGAAGAUAUGUGAUUUAUUCUGGUGAUCCGAUGAUGUAAAUAUGUGAUUUAUUCCAUGAUCCAGUUUUAGGGCAUGUGACUUGACCUGGUACCUUUCAUGACGAUAUGUGAUUUAUUAGAGUGAGUCAGUGUAGGGUCAUGUGAUUUUAUCCCGGCCGAGCCAAUAGAUGAACAUGUGAUUUAUUCUGAUACUCCAAUUGGUGGAUAUGGUGGUAAUCCUAUAAUUAGGUCAAGUUCAUGAGUACUGUAUUGUUGAUAUUAAAAUGUGGAAUGUAAGUUUACCUUGAAGAGUUGAGCGAUUAUACUAGAACUCGGGUUUAGCAUUUGUGAUCCACCCUCGAUGGAUUUAUGCAACUUUGCCUUAAAUUGAGUAUAAGGAUAGUGAGAGAUUUAAUGAUUUAGAUCGAGAAUCCACUGAAAUUAAUAUCUCAUCCUACAUUGUUUCAUUAUUUUUAAGAUAAGUAUGUGCUUUGGUUGAAAUCACAACUGAAGUCUCGAUGUCGAGAACCUAAUAGAGCAUAUUUCCAUUGUGAUGAAGAUUUUUGUCUGCUAGAGGAUGUACUAGCAAGACUUGUUGUAUUUUGAAAAUUUCAUCUGGUCCAUUUUCAUUCGUGUACAUUGAUAUAUCAUGAAUCAUAAAUUAAUAUUGUAAUAAUUAUUUUAGACAUGUAGUUACAUUGUUACAUUUUCUAUCCUUCUUAAUAAAGAUAACAAACAUGGAAGAGAUACCAUACUAGGAUGAAAAGCAUGAAGGAGCACUAAACUUGGAUUCUCGACCGGAAGAAUAAUUUCUAAGUGAAACGUAGGGAGAUGAUAAUAUGAUGGAACUGAAGGCACAAAAGAAGAUGGAUAUGGCCAAACAAGUCAGAGGUAUCACCACCAUCUAUGUAACAGGAGAUCCAUGAAAAUCCAUAACGAUAAAGGUCGAUUUACUCGAACCUACACAGGAGGAGUCCAUGGGAUUUUUGCAAAAGAGUAAUGAUCUAUUUACAUGUUUAGAAAAGUAAAUGUUGGUUCUCAAUCCAGAGGUAGAAUUCCAUAUCCUGGCCCUCAUAGACGACUCCCCUUAUGUGUUUCAACGCAUGCCAAAACAAUCUCCAAAAAGGCCUAAGUUACAAAGAAACUCAUAGACAAACUCCUCAAGGCCUGAUUCAUAACCAAGGCAAGAUAAACAAAAUCACUCUCCAACAUAGUAUUAGUGAGGAAAGCAAAUAAGAAGUGCCACAUGUAUACUGAUUAUUCAAAUAUAAGUAGGGCAUGCCCGAAAAACUUAUACUUACUUUCAAACAUUGAUAAGGUCAUUGAAAACUCAUAUGAAAUCAAACUUUCAUCCUUUUUGGAUGCAGAUUAUGGGUAUAACCAGAUACUAAUG
This 2811-nucleotide long non-coding RNA is filed under the name Lathyrus oleraceus (garden pea). RNAcentral's name for it is "Pisum sativum (pea) long non-coding RNA (PSAT_LNC032461)". Lineage: Eukaryota; Viridiplantae; Streptophyta; Magnoliopsida; Fabales; Fabaceae. The record is from RNAcentral.